UGUUAAUACUCACAUGUUUUCGGUACAUUUUCUAUUAGCGCGUCCAAGCAGACCCAUGUUUACCACCAAGUUGCCACUGGCGCUAAUUCGGAUCAAUUCGUUAACGUACAACCGGCUGUUGUGGAAGUCGAUAUUUGGUGAACAAAACUGCUAAACUCUGCACGAAAGUACAAUAAUAUUGUUGAGCUCCUUACCCCCUCACCCUCUAUAAUUCCAAUGAAGCCUGAAAUGAUCAAAGUUAUAAGCACUUCCUUUCAUAGACAUACUAUUUCAACAAUGUCUGAAGCACGAAGGGGCACGAAAUUUAUAAGAGAAAGCGUUGCCGGAAAAUUACAGGAAAUGUAAAUUAAAGCCGUAAUAUUUUAUUAUGUUGUUAAAGUAAAAAGUUGUAGUUGGACAAAAGUAAAACUAUGGAAGACUUGAA
This is a non-coding RNA of Bactrocera oleae (olive fruit fly), 424 nucleotides long. The record is from RefSeq and is a predicted model, not a curated record. NCBI's taxonomy places the organism in Eukaryota, Metazoa, Arthropoda, Insecta, Diptera, Tephritidae.